CCUCGGGCGUCUCCUUGUGGCGGCGGGAGGUGUUGUCGGGAGUGAACUGCGCGCGAGAGGCUGGAGAAAGGAACUGUGCUUAGAGGGGCUCGAACGCUCCCCCAGGCACUGGACGGUGCUGGUGCAAUUGGAUGAUGACACAGCCCCAUGAACAGGGGAAACAGACGUGUUGCUGGAUAUUCACUUUACAACCCACAAGCAGCUGGGACUGUGAGGUCCGGAGGCUUCCUGGAGGAAGAGGCAUCUAAGCCAUGAAUGAGAUUGCUGGGCUGAAAAUGGUCUUCACUCCAAAGCCCAGGCUGAAGUGCAAUGGCGCUACCACAGCUCACUGCAGCCUCGACCUCCUAGGCUCAGCUCCCCUUCACCAGACACUCCCCACAGGGAAAGUUCAUCUAACCAUGUGCUUAGAGGCUCCAGGGCAGAACUCUCUCCCACCAAGCGACUGUCUCAGAGAUAUCAGUCAAUGUGCAACCCAAAGUAUGCCCACUACGAAACUCUCUCCCACCAGGAAGUUGCCUCAAGAGACAACAGUCCAUCUACGACCUCAAGUAUGCCCGCUACAAGACUCUCUCCCACCUGGAAAGUUUCUGGCCACUUUUACAACCCAUAAAGGUGCCAGCAGUCACCAACUUGACUGCCCAGUAGAUAAGGCACCAAAGAGAGUAAGCAGAUCCCCCACCUGCUUGCUUCCUCUCCCAUGUGCCAUGCAUGCCACUAUGCCAGCCUCCCCCACAUUAAAAGCACCCACUUUCUGCUCCAAAGCCAAAGCAGCACCCUUAAGGCAGGAAGCCUAUACUUCUUCCCCUAAGUUAGCUUUGGAAUAAAAAGUCUCUUUCUUUAUACCAGACAUUACUCAUUAACUGGACUCUGCAAGCAGCAAGUGACCGAACCUGCAUUUCAGUUACAAUUUUGGUGACCCAUAUGGGGAAGUGCUGUCCGCUCUAGGUGAGUCUGAGCUGGACAGCCCAGUUAUGCUCCUGGGUGAGGCAUGGGGUCACCUGUGAGUGCCAGCUGCUCAUAGCUAGCGGAUCCCCUGACAGGAACAUUAUGGAACUUUCCAGCAGCUGCCAAAAGUGCUUUUGGUUUUGGAGGAGGCUUCCUUUCACCUCCCGGCAUGACAUCUGCCAUCUUCAGUGUUUCACUGGUUCAAAGCAAGUGACCUCUGAAGAAGACAGCAAACUUUGAAACUGGCCAGGUGCCAGGUAGCAUUCCUGAACACACGCCUCCUGGUCCCAAACAGAGGAACAUCUUCACUCAUCUCAGCCCCGGGGUUGGGGGGCAGUGGUAUUCUGGACGGCCAUCUCCCUGCCCCUCCUCACAGCACCUGACCUUCUCAGUUCAUCUGGAUAAACCUGCUGUGCUUCCUGUCCAGGGAGUGAGAAGUGAGGCGCUCCCGAAAGGCUGAGCCAAAGUCUAGUAACUGUGGCUGGAAGGCUCAUAAUCUGGGAAAUGUCUCAGCCCUGCAAGAUAUGCACCAGCAAGUCAAAACUAUGUCUGCCCCCACAUGGUCGCUAGAUCCAUGGAUGGCAUUCUGGCUCGGGUCAGGACCGUCUUGGUGAUGGAAGCUACUUACUACUCUAGCUCUAGUUGCAAAAACAGGUAGACUUCUCCAAUGUGGAUUUUACUGCUGUUGUAUCCUCUGUAUGAGACUGCAUGACAGGGUUUCCCAGAGAAUUUCCACACCUUGCACCAUAAUGUUCCAACAAAUAUCAUCUGUAAGACUGGGCACUUGUGAAGAUUUCCAACUUCAACUAGAUCAUUUCCUCUUUGACACCCAAUGACCUACAACCCCUUUCAGCCAGAAGUAGCCAGAAUGAAUAUAGUAUUCAAAUCCCAAAGAAAUGGAACAGAACUUGACGGUGGGGAAUUGUAACCAAGUACUCCCAGUUUUCAAAGAAAAAGAUAAGGAAUUACUACUAUGUUUUUUAAAUUAUUUUCUCUUAUUUUCUGUUUUCUCCAUUUCCCCCAUUCCCCACUUCCUAUGUAGCCCUUUAGAAAUGCAAUCAUAAGCUUUUACCUCCACUUCACCACACACUCCCUAGGGACAAGUUCAUCUAACUAGGUGCUUAGAAGCUCCAGGGCAGAACUCUAUCCCACCAGGGACUGCCUCAACAGAUAACAGUCAAUUUACAAACCAAAGUGUACCCGCUAUGAAACUCUCUCCCACCAGGAGGUUGCCUCAAGAACCUACAUUACAACAAUAGUCCACCUACAACCCAAAGUAUGCCUACUACAAAAAUCUCUCUCAUUGGGAGAGUUCUGGGACACUUUUACAACCUAGUCCUGCCCACGAAGGCACCAGCAGCCACCAGCUUGACCACCUGGUAGAUAAGGCACUGAAGCGAGUAUGUGAACCCCCACUUGUUUGCUUCCUCCCCUGCAUGCCUUUCAUGCCAGCAUACCAGCACCCCCCACUUUAAAAGCACCCGCUUUCUGCUUUGGAGGCAAAGUGGUCCCCUUAAGGCAGGAAGCCUGUACUUCUUGCCCUAGCAGGCUUUGGAAUAAAAAGUCAGUUUCUUUAUA
Non-coding RNA from Macaca mulatta (Rhesus monkey), 2523 nucleotides. The record is from RefSeq and is a predicted model, not a curated record. Lineage: Eukaryota; Metazoa; Chordata; Mammalia; Primates; Cercopithecidae.